RNAcentral lists this ribosomal RNA (481 nucleotides) under uncultured bacterium. Its description in RNAcentral is "partial 16S ribosomal RNA". It matches the Rfam family "Bacterial small subunit ribosomal RNA", at positions 28 to 507 of the family's 1533-position model. The record is from RNAcentral.
GACGAACGUUGGCGGCGUGCUUAAUACAUGCAAGUCCACUGAAGCAGUGGUAGCAAUAUCGCUGUGGAGGUGGCGCACGGGUGAGUAACACGUAGGUAAUCUGCCUUCAGGUCUGGCAUAACUCCGGGAAACCGGGGCUAAUAGCAGAUGAUGCAGCGGCUCGACAUCGAGACAGUUGUUAAAGCUAUGGCGCCUGAAGAUGAGCCUGCGUCUGAUUAGCUAGUUGGCGGGGUAACGGCCCACCAAGGCAACGAUCAGUAGCUGGUCUGAGAGGAUGAUCAGCGACACUAGAACUGAGACACGGGCCAGAGUCCUACGGGAGGCAGCAGUAAGGAAUAUUGCUCAAUGCGUGAAAUCCUGAAGCAGCAACGCCGCGUGAGGGCCGACGGGCUUUUGCUUGUACACCUCUGUAGUGAGAGAAAAAAAUCCCAAUCUUUGGGACAUGAUGGUAUCUCAAAAGUAAGCCCCGGCUAACUACGUG